UCGUGCUGGCGGGGCAGCCGAACGUCGGCAAGUCGUCGUUGCUGAAUGCGCUGGCCGGCGCGGAGCUGGCGAUCGUCACGCCGAUCGCGGGC
This 92-nucleotide transfer RNA is filed under the name Burkholderia contaminans. RNAcentral describes it as "tRNA-Thr". Lineage: Bacteria; Pseudomonadati; Pseudomonadota; Betaproteobacteria; Burkholderiales; Burkholderiaceae. The record is from RNAcentral.